GACCGAUAGUGAACCAGUACGUGAGGGAAAGGUGAAAAUACUUCGAAUAGAAGGUGAAAUAGAUCCUGAAACCAUACGCUUACAAGCUGUCGGAGCCCUUUUAAUUUUAUUAUUAAGAGUAGGGUGACGACGUGCCUUUUGCAUAAUGAACCUACGAGUUAAUUUUUCCGGCAAGGUUAAGUAGUUCAGCUAUGGAGCCGUAGCGAAAGCGAGUCUGAAUAGGGCAUUUAGUCGGAAGAAUUAGACGCGAAACCGAGUGAUCUACCCAUGAGCAGGUUGAAGCUGUGGUAACACAUAGUGGAGGACCGAACCGGUUGACGUUGAAAAGUCUUCGGAUGACUUGUGGGUAGGGGUGAAAGGCUAAUCAAACUCGGAGAUAGCUCGUACUCCCCGAAAUGCAUUUAGGUGCAGCAUCGGUUAAAUAUGACAGAGGUAGAGCUACUGAUUGGAUGAAGGGGUUUCAUCACCUACUAAUUCCUGAUAAACUCCGAAUGCUGUUAUUAUGUUUCACGGUAGUGAGGGCAUGGGUGCUAAGAUCCAUGUCCAAGAGGGAAACAACCCAGAUCAUCAGUUAAGGCCCCUAAGUAUAUAUUAAGUUGUAUAAACAAAGUUUAAUUACACGACAGCUAGGAUGUUGGCUUGGAAGCAG
This 649-nucleotide ribosomal RNA is filed under the name Blattabacterium punctulatus. Its description in RNAcentral is "bacterial LSU rRNA". It matches the Rfam family "Bacterial large subunit ribosomal RNA", at positions 482 to 1115 of the family's 2925-position model. Lineage: Bacteria; Pseudomonadati; Bacteroidota; Flavobacteriia; Flavobacteriales; Blattabacteriaceae. The record is from RNAcentral.